This 31-nucleotide non-coding RNA is filed under the name Rattus norvegicus (Norway rat). The record is from RNAcentral. Lineage: Eukaryota; Metazoa; Chordata; Mammalia; Rodentia; Muridae.
UACGUUGUUAAUGUGAAAUGUGAAUGUUGGC